AACACUGCAGCACCACAGAACAAAACAUCAGCUGACCGCAGUGUGCCGGAGCCACGGAGAGUAGGUACUGGUUUCGCUCACACUCAGUGUUCCCGCUGAGUUAGUCAUUUGCCACGUCAAUUAAAUUACUUAAAUAACAUAAUCUUACCAAACCAGACUUACUAACUCUUACGUUUUUCACUGCCCUCUCACGGGUCAAACGGAGGGUGUGUGUGUGUGUGUGUGUUUACCUGUGUAGGCUGCUGUGUGUCUGAGUUUGGGAAAAGAGAAUUCCAAGGACGGGUGAAGAUGAAACAGACAUUGCUGACACUCCUCACUGUGGUCACUGAUGCUCCUGGUGGAGCAAGAGAAAGGUGCUGUGGACCAAAGGCAGCAGUCCGAUCCCUGGUGGUGGUGUUUCUUCAUGAGUCCCUUUCUGUUGGUUUGUAGUGUCACGGGUGAUUAGG
Molecule: long non-coding RNA, 446 nt
Organism: Micropterus salmoides (largemouth bass)
Lineage: Eukaryota; Metazoa; Chordata; Actinopteri; Centrarchiformes; Centrarchidae
Exons: 3
Source: RefSeq, a predicted model, not a curated record